This 985-nucleotide long non-coding RNA is filed under the name Marmota monax (woodchuck). The record is from RNAcentral. Lineage: Eukaryota; Metazoa; Chordata; Mammalia; Rodentia; Sciuridae.
CAGGUGUGUGCCACCAGGCCCAGCCAGAUAAUCCUAAUUAGACUAGAAAAUAGCAUUCUUUACAUUGUAUUUUAUAGCUGUGCUGUCUGGAUGUGUAGUCCACACAUCAGCUGCAUUAGCAUCACCUGAAGCUUGUUAGAAAUUCAAGUUAAGGCUUCUCUAUAGAGGUGGAGUCCAGAAAUCUGUUUUAACAAAUCUUCCUGGCAAUCUCAAGACCAUAGUUUUAAGAACUACUAUAGGUAGAACUGUGUAUAACAUAAUUUCUCUUUAGCCUUACAAAUCAAUUUUUCUUACUUCUGAUUGCCAUGUUUGUCUUCAGAAUGUAUAGUCUCUGAACUGAGGUUUGAUUGGAAAUUUUUACUUUUGCAUCCAACCUGAAUUCCCAAAGCAUUUUAGUCAUAUAUUGCGUUUUGGAAAGAUUGCUUAACAUGACCCUCAGAUCAGAUUAGAAUCUAAAACUAAGUUUUUUAAGAAGAACUUCAGAAGGAACACUUAAAUGAUGACAGCAGGAGAGCUGAGUUGACAUAGGAAGAACAACCUAAGAAGCAAUACCAGGUUGUAUUAAAAGUUAUACCGAAGAAACAGGUAAGAUUGAAAGAAUGGGGUAUUGGAGUAAAUCUAAUUUCUCCAUAUGAUAGCCCUUUAUGUGUAUUUUAGGCAACUCUUCUGUUCCUGAUGUUUUGUUUUAUUUGGCUCUUCUUUAGAAUAAUCCCUGCCUGCCUCAAUGGUUAUUUAAGAGAGAUUCUGUAUGCCUCUGAAAGCAUGGUUCCCUUAGCUAAACAUCAUGCUCCUAAUUCUAGUUGGCUUGCCAAUACAACUGAAAUAUCUCCUCCCUUGCAUUUAAAUAAUAUCAUGCAGUGGGCGCUCGUCAUUCUUCUCCAUCAUGCAUAGUUUAUCAUAACUUUACCUAGAAAUUGGGAUGAUCUAUUGUGUUAACUGAUUUUCUUUGUCCAAAGGAAAGAUGAUCAUUUUUAAAGGAAUUAAG